GCUGCUAAGAAGCAACCUGCGUAACGAGCUUGGGGAUCGUACUUCUCACCCAAAAUCAAUGCUA
Molecule: transfer RNA, 64 nt
Filed under: Debaryomyces hansenii
Lineage: Eukaryota; Fungi; Ascomycota; Pichiomycetes; Serinales; Debaryomycetaceae
Source: RNAcentral